GAUGAACGCUGGCGGCGUGCCUAAUACAUGCAAGUCGAACGAAACUUCUUUAUCACCGAGUGCUUGCACUCACCGAUAAAGAGUUGAGUGGCGAACGGGUGAGUAACACGUGGGCAACCUGCCCAAAAGAGGGGGAUAACACUUGGAAACAGGUGCUAAUACCGCAUAACCAUAGUUACCGCAUGGUAACUAUGUAAAAGGUGGCUAUACUACCGCUUUUAGAUGGGCCCGCGGCGCAUUAGCUAGUUGGUAGGGUAAAGGCUUACCAAGGCAAUGAUGCGUAGCCGAAUUGAGAGGUUGAUCGGCCACAUUGGGACUGAGACACGGCCCAAACUCCUACGGGAGGCAGCAGUAGGGAAUCAUCCACAAUGGGCGAAAGCCUGAUGGAGCAACGCCGCGUGGGUGAAGAAGGUCUUCGGAUCGUAAAACCCUGUUGUUAGAGAAGAAAGUGCGUGAGAGUAACUGUUCACGUUUCGACGGUAUCUAACCGGAAAGCCACGGCUAACUACGUG
RNAcentral lists this ribosomal RNA (512 nucleotides) under uncultured bacterium. RNAcentral describes it as "partial 16S ribosomal RNA". It matches the Rfam family "Bacterial small subunit ribosomal RNA", at positions 28 to 507 of the family's 1533-position model. The record is from RNAcentral.